This 254-nucleotide ribosomal RNA is filed under the name uncultured bacterium. RNAcentral's name for it is "partial 16S ribosomal RNA". It matches the Rfam family "Bacterial small subunit ribosomal RNA", at positions 524 to 776 of the family's 1533-position model. The record is from RNAcentral.
UACGUAGGGUGCGAGCGUUGUCCGGAAUUAUUGGGCGUAAAGAGCUCGUAGGCGGUGUGUCACGUCGAUCGUGAAAACUUGGGGCUUAACUCUGAGCUUGCGGUCGAUACGGGCAUCACUGGAGUUUGGCAGGGGAGACUGGAAUUCCUGGUGUAGCGGUGAAAUGCGCAGAUAUCAGGAGGAACACCGGUGGCGAAGGCGGGUCUCUGGGCCGAUACUGACGCUGAGGAGCGAAAGCGUGGGGAGCGAACAGG